Molecule: ribosomal RNA, 456 nt
Filed under: Triticum aestivum (bread wheat)
Lineage: Eukaryota; Viridiplantae; Streptophyta; Magnoliopsida; Poales; Poaceae
Description: partial small subunit ribosomal RNA
Source: RNAcentral
AUGGUUGCUCUCUUUUUAAGAUCUGUCCCAAAACCGGCACGACAAUCGGUUUGUGGUGUCGGAGUCUGGACAGAUAAAGGGCAAACACUAUGCAAUGGCAACAGCCCUUGGUACGGCAGAAGGUCACCAAACAAAGCUUGUCCAACUGGCUGCAUAUUAGGGUUUAAGGGUGCUCGCAUGAAUUGUAUUGUUAGUGCAGCUCUACUUUUCUUUUCACUUCACAAAAUCCUUACAAAGAAGAAUCCUACAGAAAAAGUCAAAUAUGCCCUUCAGUUACUAUUAUCUAUCUAUUCAAAGUGUCAGGCUGGCGCAAGGAAUGGAACAAUGCUACGAACAAAACAACCCCAAAAUACAGUAUUCACCACAGGCGUGACAUAUUAUAUACAUGCAAUAAAAACUACAAAAGCUGCCGCUGGAUGUAUUGACAUAGUCCCUCUAAGGCCUCCUUUGGUUUAG